Molecule: unclassified non-coding RNA, 716 nt
Filed under: Hevea brasiliensis (rubber tree)
Lineage: Eukaryota; Viridiplantae; Streptophyta; Magnoliopsida; Malpighiales; Euphorbiaceae
Source: RNAcentral
AAAAGAGGCUCGAAGUAUCAUUCUUCGAGCCAAGCGUUUUUGCUGACCCUAGGGGCAUGGGUCUCCGUGCGCUGUCAAAAGCACAACUGGAUGAAAUUCUGACAUUAGCUGAGUGCACCAUUGUCGACUCUUUGUCAAAUGACUAUCUUGAUUCGUAUGUCCUUUCAGAGUCGAGCCUCUUUGUGUACCCAUACAAGUUCAUCAUCAAAACCUGCGGCACUACUAAGCUGCUUCUCUCUAUCCCAGCUCUGUUGAAGUUGGCUGAUUCUCUGUCUCUUACUGUGAAGUGUGUGAGGUACACUCGUGGCAGCUUUAUCUUUCCUGGUGCCCAGUCUUUUCCCCAUCGCAGCUUCUCUGAGGAAGUUGCCGUCCUUGAUGGCUAUUUGGCCAAGCUUGGCCUCAAAGGCUCUGCUAUUGUGAUGGGAAGUCCUGAUGAAACAAGGAAAUGGCACGUUUAUUCUGCCUGUGCCAACAUGGGGAGUCAAAGUAACAACCCUGUUUAUACCCUGGAAAUGUGCAUGACUGGCUUAGACAAGGAGAAGGCAUCUGUCUUCUUCAAAACAGAUGCAAGUUCUGCUGCUGCGAUGACUGAAAAUUCUGGUAUUAGGAAAAUCCUUCCAAAAUCUGAAAUAUGUGACUUCGAGUUCGACCCUUGUGGUUAUUCCAUGAAUGCCAUUGAAGGAGAUGCAGAGUCUACAAUCCAUGUUACUCCAGAA